UACGUAGGGUGCAAGCGUUAUCCGGAAUUAUUGGGCGUAAAGAGCUCGUAGGCGGUUUGUCGCGUCUGCUGUGAAAACUGGGGGCUCAACCCCCAGCCUGCAGUGGGUACGGGCAGACUAGAGUGCGGUAGGGGAGACUGGAAUUCCUGGUGUAGCGGUGGAAUGCGCAGAUAUCAGGAGGAACACCGAUGGCGAAGGCAGAUCUCUGGGCCGUAACUGACGCUGAGGAGCGAAAGCAUGGGGAGCGAACAGG
RNAcentral lists this ribosomal RNA (253 nucleotides) under uncultured bacterium. RNAcentral describes it as "partial 16S ribosomal RNA". It matches the Rfam family "Bacterial small subunit ribosomal RNA", at positions 524 to 776 of the family's 1533-position model. The record is from RNAcentral.